Long non-coding RNA from Oncorhynchus tshawytscha (Chinook salmon), 5773 nucleotides. The record is from Ensembl. NCBI's taxonomy places the organism in Eukaryota, Metazoa, Chordata, Actinopteri, Salmoniformes, Salmonidae.
GAAGCUAAGCAGGGUUGGUCCUGGUCAGUUAUUGGAUGGGAGACCAGGUGCUGCUGGAAGUGGUGUUGGAGUGCAGUAGGAGGCACUCUUUCCUCUGGUCUAAAAAAAAAAAGUCCCCCAAUAUCGCAUGGCAGUGUUUGGGGACACUGCCCUGUGUAGGGUGCUGUCUUUUGGAUGGGACCUUAAAAGGGUGUCCUGACUCUGAGGUCAUUAAAGAUCCCAUGGCACUUAUUGUAGGGGUGUCCUGGUUAAAUUCCCAAUCUGGCCCUCAAACCAUCAUGGUCACCUAAUAAGCCCCAGUUUACAAUUAGCUCAUUCAUCCCCCUCCUCUCCCCUGUAACUAUUCCCCAGGUCGUUGCUGCAAAUCAGAAUGUGUUCUCAGUCAACUUACCAGGUAAAGUAACAGAUAAAUAAAAAAUUGAUACAUCAUCCAAAGUGUACUUAGUAACUUCACCAUGCUCAAAAGGAUAUUCAAAUCAAAUUGUAUUUGUCACAUGCGCUGAAUACAGCAGGUAUUCUGUGAAAUGCUUACUUGCAAGCCCUUAACCAACAAUGCAGUUCAAUAAAUAUAGUUAAGAAAAUGUUUACUAAAUAAACUAAAGUAACAUUUUUUUAAAUAAAAAUGUAGCACAAUAAAAUAACAAUAUUGAGGCUAUAUACAGGGGGUACCGGUACCGAAUCAAUGUGUGGGAGUACAGAUUAGUAGAGGUCAUUUGUACAUGUAGGUAGGGAUAAAGGUAAUAAAAUGCAUAGAUAAUAAAUAGCGAGUAGUAGCGGGGGUCAAUGUACAUUUUCUGGGUGGCCAUUUGAUUCAUUGUUUAGCAGUCUUAUUAGCUUGGGGGUAGAAGCUGUUAAGGAGCCUUUUGGACUUAGACUUGGUACUCCGGUACUGCUUGCCGUGCGGUAGCGGAGAGAAAAGUCUAUUACUUGGGUGACUGGAGUCUUUGACAAUUUUAUGGGCCUUCCUCUGACACCGCAUAGGAUAUAGGUCCUGGAUGGCAGGAAGCUUGACCCCAGUGAUGUACUGGGACGUAAGCACUACCCUCUGUUGCGCCUUACGGUCGGAUACUGAGCAGUUGACAUAGCAGAUGGUGAUGCAACUGCUCAGGAUGCUCUCGAUGAUGCAACUGUAGAAUUUUUUGAGGAUCUGGGGACCCAUGCCAAAUCUUUUCAGUCUCCUGAGGGGGAAAUGGUGUUGUUGUGCCCUCUUCAUGACUGUCUUGGUGUGUUUGGACCAUAAUAGUUUGUUGGUGAUGUGGACACCAAGGAACAGUCUCAACGUCAACAGUGAAGAGGUGACUCCGGGAUGCUGGCGUUCUAGGCAGAGUUGCAAAGAAAAAGCCAUAUCUCAGACUGGCCAAUAAAAAGAAAAGAUUAAGAUGGGCAAAGGACAAAGGAACUCUGCCUAGAAGGCCAGCAUCCCGGAGUCGCCUCUUCACUGUUGACAUUGAGACUGGUGUUUUGCGGGUACUAUUUAAUGAAGCUGCCAGUUGAGGACUCGUGAGGCGUCUGUUUCUCAAACUAGACACUAAUGUACUUGUCCUCUACCUCACUUGUGCACCGGGGCCUCCCACUCCUCUUUCUUUUCUGGUUAGGGCCAGUGUGAGCUGUUCUGUGAAGGGAGUAGUACACAGCGUUGUACCAGAUCUUCAGUAUCUGGUCAAUUUCUCGCAGGGAAUAGAAUAAGAAUAAAUUGUUUCAGAAGGAAGGACUUUAUUUCUGCCCAUUUUAAGCCUGUAAUCGAACCCACAAAUGCUGAUGCUCCAGAUACUCAACUAGUCUAAAGGAGGCCAAUUUUAUUGCUUCUUUAAUCAGAACAACAGUUUUCAGCUGUGCUAACAUAAUUGCAAAAAGGUUUUCUAAUGAUCAAUUAGCCUUUUAAAAUGAUAAACUUGGAUUAGCUAACACAACUUGCCAUUGGAACACAGGAGUGAUGGUUGCUGAUAAUGGGCCUCUGUACACCUAUGUAGAUAUUCCAUUUGAAAAAUCUGCUGUUUCCAGCUACAAUAGUCAUUUACAACAUUAACAAUGUCUACACUGUAUUUCUGAUCAAUUUGAUGUUAUUUUAAUGGACAAAAAAUGUGAUUUUCUUUCAAAAACAAGGACAUUUCUAAGUGACCCCAAACUCAAGAAACGGUGGUGUAUAUUUUAUUUUCCACCCGUCUACCAAUAAGCGCCCUUUGCGAGGCAUUGAAAAACCUCCCUGUUCUUUGUGGUUGAAUCUGUUUUUGAAAUUCACUACUACCCGACGGAGGGACUUUACAGAUAAUUGCAUGUGUGGGGUACAAAGAUUACGUAGUCAUUAAAAAAUUAUGUAAACCACUAUUAUUGCACACACAGUGAGACAAUGCAACUUAUUAUGUGACUCCUGCUCUUAUUUAGGCUUGCCAUAACAAAGGGAUUGAAUACUUAAUGACUCAAGACAUUUCAGCUUUAACUUUGUAUUAAUUUGUAAAAAGAAAUUGGGAAUUGAUCCCCAAAUGCUCGUUGUUUGCAGUGAUUAGUAAUGUGUCAUCCUAUAUGUCAAAAAGUCACCCUUUUAUCUCCAAACCUCCCAUUGUUAUUGUGCAAUGAGCAGUCAGUAUGCUGGCUGGAACAGGCUGUACAGUACUGUAGCUGUCUUGCAGUGCUCUCUUUCACUCUCUCUCUCUCUUGCUCUCGCUCUCUUACUCGCCUCCUCCUCUUGAUGAGUUUCCUCUCCUUCACACUCUUGCAUAUCAAAAAGAUAGUUUGACCAUCUGUAGAUUAUAAUUUGAGACUAUCCAAAGUGUGACCUGAGAGAAAUAUGAAUACCUUGUCCUUACCUGGCUCUAUGCCAGUUUUAUGAUAUUGUUAUACACACUGUCUGAGAGAUUGUAUUGGUUUACACAAAACAUUUUCUAUAUAUUUUCUAGCAAGGGGUUUAGAUAUAGUACCGGUCAGUUCUGCCUCCUAUGUAAUAUGCGAGACCAUUCUUACCCUUUCCCCUGAUUCCAUUCCUAUUUCUUCCUGACGGUCUCACUUACUAAGAUUCUCUCCAAAGGGCUUGUUGGUGGGAGUGUGACUGCACAUUACAUUAUGAGCUACUGGCCGACCACUGGUUAUUUCUUCUCGUUUUUACCUCUGAUUUUCAAGGCUCACUAUCCUCUCUCCCGGUUUCAUUAAGGUCUCUGGUGGUAUGGCCUUGGAAACAUUUCUGUUUCUACAUGAACGGUCUACUCAAAGUGUAUGAGAAGUCAUAUUAGAUCAUUGAAAUGUAUAUAAAAAUGCCAUAUGAUCUUGCCAUAAUGACCAAUUUCUUUGUGUUUUGGUAAUGUAUUUGGCUAAUACUUAAGUUCAAUUUUCACUUUUAUUUAUUCAGUUUCUCAUUGAAAUAAAAUCUAUUUGCAAGAGACCUAGCUAUUGAACAUGAUCGGAGGGGUCAAGUAGUUUUUAUUAGUGUGGACUGUGUGUAAGGAAGAGUUUCUGUAAACUCAUGCCAUGCUCUUCCAAUAAGGGCAAGGUCAUGGCUAAGGGCCAACCAACCAGUUAAAUUAGGGAGAGGAGCAAAGGGUUGCUCUCGUGUAAUAUAACAAGGAAUGGAAAAGGGGUGUGGGGGUCGAUGUGGGAUCUAUGACAUCAUAGAACCUCCUCUGCAUGCUCAUGUUUAUUUACCGGAUUUAACCAAAUCCAUCUCUGAAUGAACUACUGCGCAACAUAAGUUGAAUUUAGUACUCUCUCUUUCUCUCACUCACACACAUACAAAAGCUGUGCAGUAGACAUAACUGUGUUCACAGUUAAUGUACAUAUGUUGUGUUUUUACCCAACUACCAGCACAUACUUUGCGACUGUCACAAAUUGAGAUACCGUUAUCUUUUGUAAAUCAUGCGUUAAAGGUAGAGUCAGCGAUAUGACUAGAUGCAGAAAGUAAACAGCAUAGUGGAUCAAUUUCCGGCAUCAACCAAGAGCGCUAAAGCGCGAAGAUCAACUUCUCCGCUGUUUUGGUGCCCUGGCUCAUCUGCUCGUGGCAACAUCAUUUCGCUGAGUUUGCCUUGGAAAGGGGCAAUCAACAGUUGCUAUAUCCAUUUUUGGACACCAUGACUCUUUCCACAUUUUGUUACGUAACAGCCUUAUUCUAAAAUAUAUUUUAAAAAUUCAAAGUCCUCAUCAAUCUACACAUAAUACUUCAAAAUGACAAAGGAAAUAUAUAUAUAUAAUAUUUACAUUAGUAUUCAGACCCUUUAGUCAGUACUUUGUUAAAGCACCUUUGGCAGCUAUUACAGCCUUGAGACUUCUUGGAUAUGAAGCUACAAGCUUGGGACACCUGUAUUUUGGGAGUUUCUCCCAUUCUUCUCUGUCUUAGAAAGACAUUAUACAGGUACCCUUCACAUAAAUUGUUAUCACCCUUUCUCACCAGCCUUUCCUGCUGAGGCUAGAGUCAGUGAGGCCCACCCGGGGCAUGAAGAAGGCAGAGAAGCUGGCAGACUACCAGUGCCAGGCCGGAUACCUGGGCAUCGCCACCACGCUCUCUGCCAUAGACAGAUCGCCCUCCAAUAUGGAACGGACCUCCAGCAGAACGUCAGCAGGAAAGAUGCCCAGGCCUGGCAGUACCAACCACCACCACAGUGCCAGGGCAUCAUAUGCCAUCGCUAUCGCCGCCACACCCCUACCCAGGCAUGCCAGUGCGGCAGCGUCCCGGCAACCUGGUCCUGAGAGCUGUGCUCAGGGAGGAGCACCAUUCCCCAACUCCCCACCUUACCAAGACCUUACCAAUAAGGCAAUUACUUGCCCCUAAACACUGAUCCAAGCUUAGCAGGUGGUGUAACGCUCGUCGUUGGGAGAGAGAGAGGAGGACCAAGGUGCAACGUGGUGGUAAGUAUUCAGAGUCUCUUUUAUUGAAAACGAAUACUUGCACAAAAACAACUAAACGAAACGAGAACGAAACGAAAACAGUCCUGAAUGGUGAAAUACAAACACAGAACAGAAAAUAAACACCCACGCAACACAGGUGGAAAAAGGCUACCGAAGUAUGAUUCUCAAUCAGAGACAACUAACGACACCUGCCUCUGAUUGAGAACCAUACCAGGCCAACCUCAAAAACCAACAUAGAAAAACCAACAUAGACAACCCACCCAACUCACGCCCUGACCAUACUAAAACAAAGACCUAAAUAAAAGAACUAAGGUCAGAACGUGACAGGUGGUGCCUAUCAAUAUGCUUAGUGAAUAGAGGAAGUACUAUGUAUGCCAUGCUGUAUUUCCACUCUUGUGAAAUUUGUUCAAGUGGAACUUUUCAUCAAUGUUUCUGUUAUUGUUGUGUGUCACACCCUGACCAUAGUUUACUUUGUAUAUUUCUAUGUUUUGGUUGGUCAGGGUGUGAGCUGAGUGGGCAUUCUAUGUUUCAUGUCUAGUUUGUCUAUUUCUAUGUCUGGCCUGAUAUGGUUCUCAAUCAGAGGCAGGUGUUAGUCAUUGUCUCUGAUUGGGAACCAUAUUUAGGUAGCAUGGGUUUCACUGUGUGUUUGUGGGGGAUUGUUCCUGUAUCUGUGUUUUCACCAGAUAGGGCUGUUUUUGUAUUGAUUCGUGUUUUACGUUUGUUGAUUAAACAUGGAUCGCAAUCUACACGCCGCAUUUUGGUCCGACUCUCCUUCACCAAAAGAGAACCGUUACAUUAUGAUGAAUAAUGAGAGAGAUAUUUGUGUACUAGUAAAGCUUUUUUAGAAUAUCAUGGGAGAAUUAGUCAUACUUUUUUAUUGUGAUCCUGUGCAAAUUUCUUGAUGUUUUCCAAUAAAGCUGCUUGUUGCCGCACCACUCAUGUC